Molecule: ribosomal RNA, 253 nt
Filed under: uncultured bacterium
Lineage: Bacteria
Description: partial 16S ribosomal RNA
Rfam family: Bacterial small subunit ribosomal RNA
Source: RNAcentral
UACGAAGGGGGCUAGCGUUGUUCGGAAUUACUGGGCGUAAAGGGCGCGUAGGCGGCCGACCAAGUCAGAAGUGAAAGCCCUGGGCUCAACCCGGGAAUUGCUUUUGAAACUGGUAGGCUUGAGUUCGAGAGAGGUGAGUGGAAUUCCCAGUGUAGAGGUAAAAUUCGUAGAUAUUGGGAGGAACACCAGUGGCGAAGGCGGCUCACUGGCUCGAAACUGACGCUGAGGCGCGAAAGCGUGGGGAUCAAACAGG